UGGGGAAUCAUGGUCAAUGGGCGAAAGCCUGAACCUGCGACGCCGCGUGAGUGAUGAAGGCCUUAGGGUUGUAAAGCUCUUUUACCAGGGAUGAUAAUGACAGUACCUGGAGAACAAGCUCCGGCUAACUCCGUGCCAGCAGCUGCGGUAAUACGUAGGGGGCGAGCGUUAUUCGGAAUUACUGGGUGUAAAGGGUAUGUAGGCGGCCCUUCAAGUCGCGUGUCAAAGUCCAGUGCUCAACGCUGGGUGUGCACGCGAUACUGACGGGCUUGAGGGCUGGAGAGGUGAGCGGAAUUCCCGGUGUAGUGGUAAAAUACGUAGAGAUCGGGAGGAACACCAGCGGCGCAGGCGGCUCACUAGACAGUUUCUGACGCUAAGAUACGAAAGCGUGGGGAGCAAACA
Molecule: ribosomal RNA, 402 nt
Filed under: uncultured prokaryote
Description: bacterial SSU rRNA
Rfam family: Bacterial small subunit ribosomal RNA
Source: RNAcentral